Molecule: ribosomal RNA, 433 nt
Filed under: uncultured bacterium
Lineage: Bacteria
Description: partial 16S ribosomal RNA
Rfam family: Bacterial small subunit ribosomal RNA
Source: RNAcentral
AACGAACGCUGGCGGCAGGCCUAACACAUGCAAGUCGAGCGAGAUCUCCGUGUCUAGCUGCGGUCGUGGGAGGAACGCGGGGGAAUAUGCCUGUUGGUACCGUAUACUCUCGGUAAACUGGGCGUAAUACAGUAUGUGCUCUUAGGGGGAAAGAUUUAUCGCCAAGGGAUUAGCCCGCGUUGGAUUAGGUAGUUGGUGGUGUAAUGGCCUAUCAAGGCGUCGAUCCUUAGCUGGUUUGAGAGGAGGAUCAGCCACGCUGGGGCUAAGACACGGCCCAGAAUCGUAGGGAAGGCAGCAGUGGGGAAUCUUAGACAAUGGGGGCAACCCUGAUCUCGCCAUGCCGGGUGAGUCAUGAAGGCGGUAGGGUUGUAAAGCUCUUUCAGCUGGGGAGAUAAUGACGGUACCAGCAGAAGAAGCCCCGGCUAACUCCGUG